Molecule: ribosomal RNA, 434 nt
Filed under: uncultured bacterium
Lineage: Bacteria
Description: bacterial SSU rRNA
Rfam family: Bacterial small subunit ribosomal RNA
Source: RNAcentral
GAACGAACGCUGGCGGCAUGCCUAACACAUGCAAGUCGAACGAGACCUUCGGGUCUAGUGGCGCACGGGUGCGUAACACGUGGGAAUUUGCCUCGGGGUAUGGAAUAACUCAGGGAAACUUGAGCUAAUACCAUAUAAUGUCUUCGGACCAAAGAUUUAUCGCCCUGAGAUAAGCCCGCGUAGGAUUAGCUAGUUGGUGGGGUAAAGGCUCACCAAGGCGACGAUCCUUAGCUGGUCUGAGAGGAUGAUCAGCCACACUGGGACUGAGACACGGCCCAGACUCCUACGGGAGGCAGCAGUGGGGAAUAUUGGACAAUGGGCGAAAGCCUGAUCCAGCAAUGCCGCGUGAGUGAUGAAGGCCUUCGGGUUGUAAAGCUCUUUUACUCGGGACGAUAAUGACGGUACCGAGAGAAUAAGCCCCGGCUAACUCCGUG